RNAcentral lists this ribosomal RNA (345 nucleotides) under Liocheles sp. 2 ZAM-2017. RNAcentral describes it as "partial 16S ribosomal RNA". Lineage: Eukaryota; Metazoa; Arthropoda; Arachnida; Scorpiones; Hormuridae. The record is from RNAcentral.
UUAGUCUUUUAGCUUGAGACUGGAUGAUGGUUCGACUGUGUAUCUAUGUCUUAUAGUAAUAUUUUGAAAUUUAUUUUUUAGUAAAAAAGCUAAAAUAAACCUUAAAGACGAGAAGACCCUAUCAAACUUUACAAAUUCAGUUUUAUUUUCUAAAUUAAUACUUAGUUUGUUUUACUGGGGCAGUUGGUGGAUUUGGUUCCAUUUUAAAAUUGUGAAUUUAAUUCUUGAUAAAUCAAAAAUUUUUUAAUAAAGAAUAAGCUACUGUAGGGAUAACAGCAUAAUUUUUUUUAAGAGUUCUUAUUGUCAAAAAAGUUUGUGACCUCGAUGUUGGAUUAAGAGACCUAA